Transfer RNA from Colletotrichum tofieldiae, 88 nucleotides. It matches the Rfam family "tRNA". From Rfam's summary of the family: Transfer RNA (tRNA) molecules are approximately 80 nucleotides in length. Their secondary structure includes four short double-helical elements and three loops (D, anti-codon, and T loops). The record is from Rfam. Lineage: Eukaryota; Fungi; Ascomycota; Sordariomycetes; Glomerellales; Glomerellaceae.
UCCCAUAUAGUCCAGUGGUUAGGAUACUCCGCUUUCAUUCCCUUGAAGGCGCUCCGGAGAGACCCGAGUUCGAACCUCGGUGUGGGAA